UAAGGAAUAUUGGUCAAUGGACGCAAGUCUGAACCAGCCAUGCCGCGUGAAGGAAGACGGCCCUACGGGUUGUAAACUUCUUUUGUACGGGAAAAAACCACCGGUCGUGAACCGGUGCUGAUGGUACCGUAAGAAUAAGCAUCGGCUAACUCCGUGCCAGCAGCCGCGGUAAUACGGAGGAUGCAAGCGUUAUCCGGAUUCAUUGGGUUUAAAGGGUGCGCAGGCGGAAUGAUAAGUCAGUGGUGAAAUCCUACGGCUCAACUGUAGAACUGCCAUUGAUACUGUUGUUCUUGAGUACACUUGGAGUGGGCGGAAUGUGUCAUGUAGCGGUGAAAUGCUUAGAUAUGACACAGAACACCGAUCGCGAAGGCAGCUCACUAAGUUGUAACUGACGCUCAGGCACGAAAGCGUGGGGAUCAAACAGG
Molecule: ribosomal RNA, 425 nt
Filed under: uncultured bacterium
Lineage: Bacteria
Description: bacterial SSU rRNA
Rfam family: Bacterial small subunit ribosomal RNA
Source: RNAcentral